Molecule: ribosomal RNA, 261 nt
Filed under: uncultured archaeon
Lineage: Archaea
Description: partial 16S ribosomal RNA
Rfam family: Archaeal small subunit ribosomal RNA
Source: RNAcentral
CAGCCGUAAACUAUGCGCGUUAGGUGUAUCGGUGACCACGAGUUACCGAGGUGCCGAAGGGAAACCGUGAAACGUGCCGCCUGGGAAGUACGGUCGCAAGGCUGAAACUUAAAGGAACUGGCGGGGGAGCACAACAACGGGUGGAGCCUGCGGUUUAAUUGGACUCAACGCCGGAAAACUCACCAGGGGAGACAGCAAUAUGUAGGUCAAGCUGAAGACUUUACCUGAAUCGCUGAGAGGUGGUGCAUGGCGUCAGUGACU